Molecule: unclassified non-coding RNA, 377 nt
Filed under: uncultured bacterium
Lineage: Bacteria
Description: contains 16S-23S intergenic spacer region
Source: RNAcentral
UCCGGUUUGGCACCGGCAGUCUCCCUAGAGUUCCCGGCAUUACCCGCUGGCAACUAAGGACAGGGGUUGCGCUCGUUGCGCCACUUAAGGCAACACCUCACGGCACGAGCUGACGACAACCAUGCAGCACCUUGUAAGUUGUCUUGCGAAAGGACUGUUUCCGAUCCGGUCAACCUACAUUUAAGCCUUGGUAAGGUUCCUCGCGUAUCAUCGAAUUAAACCACAUGCUCCACCGCUUGUGCGGGCCCCCGUCAAUUCCUUUGAGUUUCAAACUUGCGUUCGUACUCCCCAGGCGGGGUGCUUAAUGCGUUAGCUUCGGCACGGACGGGGUCGAUAUCCGCCCACACCUAGCACCCAACGUUUACGGCUAGGACUAC